RNAcentral lists this ribosomal RNA (497 nucleotides) under uncultured bacterium. RNAcentral describes it as "bacterial SSU rRNA". It matches the Rfam family "Bacterial small subunit ribosomal RNA", at positions 899 to 1397 of the family's 1533-position model. The record is from RNAcentral.
ACUCAAAGGAAUUGACGGGGGCCCGCACAAGCGGCGGAGCAUGUUGCUUAAUUCGACGCAACGCGAAGAACCUUACCAAGGUUUGACAUGGCCGGAAAACUCACAGAGAUGUGGGGUCCUUCGGGGCCGGUCACAGGUGGUGCAUGGCUGUCGUCAGCUCGUGUCGUGAGAUGUUGGGUUAAGUCCCGCAACGAGCGCAACCCUCGUCCCAUGUUGCCAGCAAGUAAAGUUGGGGACUCAUGGGAGACUGCCGGGGUCAACUCGGAGGAAGGUGGGGAUGACGUCAAGUCAUCAUGCCCCUUAUGUCUUGGGCUGCAAACAUGCUACAAUGGCCGGUACAGAGCGCUGCGAGCCCGUGAGGGUGAGCGAAUCGCGGAAAGCCGGUCUCAGUUCGGAUCGGGGUCUGCAACUCGGCCCCGUGAAGCCGGAGUCGCUAGUAAUCGCGGAUCAGCAACGCCGCGGUGAAUACGUUCCCGGGCCUUGCACACACCGCCCGU